AGGUGACUUGUGUUCAACAGAUACACAGCUUAAUUAUUAUUGAGUGAGUGCUCAGAGAAGGUGAAAAGCCUGUGUGGUUGUGUCCAUCUGUUGAAUCGGGUUACUGACGAGUCUAGUUGUUUGAGAGUACAACUUAAAGCUGGUGGUAAAUUUCAUCAAAGGCUAAAUAUAUGAGGGGACUAAUAGCGAACAAGUACCAUGAGGGAAAGUUGAAAAGGACUCUGACGAGAGAGUUCAAUAGUACGUGAAACCAUAUUGAGUAAAACAGAUAACUGUGUUGUUAUGUGGUGUGCCUAUCAACAGUGAAUUCGGCGUUGCGCCGCCGCCAGUGUGAGCUGUCUAUUCAGCCGAACGCUGGUGGUGGUGCAUAGUUGGAGCUUCUGUGUACUAGUGCACACUCAAUCAUUGAGAAACUAUGCUGCUGCGGUAUCGGUGUGCAUCAGUCCGUACCUAGUGCGAGGUUGCAUGCUGGGCUCUGCUGGCGGCGUCGUUUAGCUGUGUGACAGCUGUGGAUCGCGUUCACUGAAUGUGCCUGCUGUAUCUGCGGAGUGGUUCAUUCCUCUCUGCGGCGAGCAUCACGGUGCAGUGGGUGAGCGGUCCGCCAUCAAUGGUUAACAUUAGUUAUUUGACCCGUCUUGAAACACGGACCAAGGAGUUCAAAUGGCACGCGAGUCAUUGGGUUUAAGCACCCGAAGGCGAAGUGAAAUGCAAACGUAUCGUUACGCGUCCUUGUUGGGCGAAUAAGCGAUAAGCUACUCAUGCUUUCCGGCAUUUGUAGACUACAAGCGUGAUGUUUGAGACCCGAAAGAUGGUGACCUAUGCCUAGUCAAGAUGAAGCCAGAGGAAACUCUGGUGGAUGUCUGAAGUUAUUCUGACGUGCAAAUCGAUAAUCUGAUCUGGGUAUAGGGGCGAAAGACUAAUCGAACCAUCUAGUAGCUGGUUCCUUCCGAAGUUUCCCUCAGGAUAGCAAGCGUACACUUUUAGUUUCAUCCCGUAAAGCGAAUGAUUAGAGGCAUUGGGGCAUAUAUAGCUUCAACCUAUUCUCAAACUUUUAAUGGGUGUGAGUGUUCUUUCUUGAUUGAAGAACGCUGCUAAAUAAGUAUGCUUAGUGGGCCAUUUUUGGUAAGCAGAACUGGCGCUGUGGGUUGAACCAAAUGUUGAGUUAAAGUGCCUAAAGCUGGAAUGCGCAUGAGAUCUAUAAAGGGUGUUAGUUGCUGAAGACAGCAGG
Molecule: ribosomal RNA, 1228 nt
Filed under: Asca garmani
Lineage: Eukaryota; Metazoa; Arthropoda; Arachnida; Mesostigmata; Ascidae
Description: eukaryotic LSU rRNA
Rfam family: Eukaryotic large subunit ribosomal RNA
Source: RNAcentral